This 174-nucleotide ribosomal RNA is filed under the name Streptococcus salivarius. Its description in RNAcentral is "partial 16S ribosomal RNA". It matches the Rfam family "Bacterial small subunit ribosomal RNA", at positions 667 to 837 of the family's 1533-position model. Lineage: Bacteria; Bacillati; Bacillota; Bacilli; Lactobacillales; Streptococcaceae. The record is from RNAcentral.
UUUUUUGUGUCUCGGUCGAAUUGCGUUAGANAUAUGGGAGGAACACCGGUGGCGAAAGCGGCUCUCUGGUCUGUAACUGACGCUGAGGCUCGAAAGCGUGGGGAGCGAACAGGAUUAGAUACCCUGGUAGUCCACGCCGUAAACGAUGAGUGCUAGGUGUUGGAUCCUUUCCGA